CAGUCGCCGCGGUAAUACAGAGGGUGCGAGCGUUAAUCGGAUUUAUUGGGCGUAAAGCGUGCGUAGGCGGCUUCUUAAGUCGGAUGUGAAAUCCCUGAGCUUAACUUAGGAAUUGCAUUCGAUACUGGGAAGCUAGAGUAUGGGAGAGGAUGGUAGAAUUCCAGGUGUAGCGGUGAAAUGCGUAGAGAUCUGGAGGAAUACCGAUGGCGAAGGCAGCCAUCUGGCCUAAUACUGACGCUGAGGUACGAAAGCAUGGGGAGCAAACAGGAUUAGAUACCCCCGUAGUCCCUGUCUCUUAUAC
Molecule: ribosomal RNA, 301 nt
Filed under: uncultured bacterium
Lineage: Bacteria
Description: partial 16S ribosomal RNA
Rfam family: Bacterial small subunit ribosomal RNA
Source: RNAcentral